GGGAUUACAGGCAUCCGCCACUACGCCAGCUAAUUUUUUUGUAUUUUUAGUAGAGACGAGGUUUCAUCUUGUUGGCCAGGCUGGUCUUGAACUCCUGACCUCAAGUGAUCCGUCAGUCUCAGCCUCCCAGAAUGCCUGAAGGUUAGCUUUUAAGUGUUGGUUACUUUAUCUCCUCAGUAGCUAGAUCAGGGUCCAGGUGGUCAGGAUUCAGUCAAAAGCAAGUGAUUAAGGAGACUCCUCUGGGGACUUUGCGAUGGAGAGGCAGGAGGGGCCACGAGCGGGGGUGGGGAAGAGAAGAGGGCACAGAGGCCAGCGGAUGAGAGAGACACCAGGGAGCCUGGGAUGCCUGCCCGAGGCUCUGGCCACGCCCAUGCCCUGCCUGUCCCGCUAAGAGACGAGAAGUCUUGCCAUGUUGCCCGGGUUGGUCUCCAACUCUUGGGCUCAAGACAUCCUCCUGCUUCAGGCUCCCUCAGUGCUGAGAUUUCAGCACACAGAGGAAAGGCCAUGUGAGGACACAGCAAGAAGGCGGCCAUCUGCAAGCCAAGAAGAGAGUCCUCACCAGGAACCAACUCUGCUGACACCUUGCUGUUGGACUUCCAGCCUCUAUAAAUGUUCACAAGCACACCACUGUUUACACCCAUCUAGAAGGCCCCUCCCAGCUGACAUCUUUCUGCCUACCUUUCAGGAAGACAGACGAAACUCUCUGCCUUCAGGUGGGGCAAGAUGGAGUUUUCUGCGUCUUUUACUCCACACCCCCUCCAACCCUCCCCGA
RNAcentral lists this long non-coding RNA (772 nucleotides) under Homo sapiens (human). RNAcentral's name for it is "HSALNT0256206". Lineage: Eukaryota; Metazoa; Chordata; Mammalia; Primates; Hominidae. The record is from RNAcentral.